Molecule: non-coding RNA, 513 nt
Organism: Globicephala melas (long-finned pilot whale)
Lineage: Eukaryota; Metazoa; Chordata; Mammalia; Artiodactyla; Delphinidae
Source: RefSeq, a predicted model, not a curated record
CUCGGCCCUCGCUGACCAGGUCGGUGAGCGCGCGGUACCAGCCCUCCUGCUCCUGCUCGUUCUCGGCCGCCACUGCGAAGUACUCGUCCUUGGUGUAGAGGGCAAUCAGAUGUUAAUGAUUACGAGCAGACGAACCUGGGUCCAAGUGUAACCUGAACAACAAAAGACCCGCCGCAGCUCCCUGUGGCUCGUUGUCUGAAGCGCUGAGUCCGUUAACCGGCUUUGAUUUGCAGUCACCUUACACACUCAGACCCUUACAAGGAAACGUUAUUUCUAAAAGCAUCUCGAGCUGGCAGAUGUGAUGGGACGGUCUACCUCACGUCAGUCUUGCGUCAUCCUAUUCCACUGAUCAGCUGUAUCGUUUGGUGCGGCCCUUCCUUGGGCAACCCUAGGUGCUGUUACAUAGGGUCACCGCGGAAGGCAUGAUAUUCCACGAUAAGACCCAGUGAUUGUUCCUGGAGGGCUGAUCUCCUAGAUGUACCCGAACGUAUGAGCUCCCCAAAUGACACUCCU